UACGUAGGGGGCAAGCGUUAUCCGGAUUUACUGGGUGUAAAGGGAGCGUAGACGGUUGUAUAAGUCUGGAGUGAAAGCCCGGGGCCCAACCCCGGGACUGCUUUGGAAACUGUGUAACUUGAGUACAGGAGGGGCAGGCGGAAUUCCUGGUGUAGCGGUGAAAUGCAUAGAUAUCACGAAGAACUCCGAUUGCGAAGGCAGCUUACCAGUCUGCGACUGACGCUCAGGCACGAAAGUGUGGGUAUCGAACAGG
RNAcentral lists this ribosomal RNA (253 nucleotides) under uncultured Eubacteriales bacterium. RNAcentral describes it as "uncultured Clostridiales bacterium partial 16S ribosomal RNA". It matches the Rfam family "Bacterial small subunit ribosomal RNA", at positions 524 to 776 of the family's 1533-position model. The record is from RNAcentral. Lineage: Bacteria; Bacillati; Bacillota; Clostridia; Eubacteriales.